UUUGAUUUCUCAUUUGAUUUGAAGUUUGUAUGUAAUGGGUUUUGCUGAAAGUAAAGUGGAUUGCUCUUACAAUUAGAAAUUUGAAAGCUUUAUCAAAAUUUGGUAGCCGGAUUAUGGAUUUUUUUCAAAUUCGGUGGUGCUUUGGUCCGAUAGAUCCAUGUCUUCUCUCGAUUGGGUUUUUGUUUCUUAUUCCGAUGAUUUGGUUUCCACUAUUCUUGGUUUCAAAAUCUUGGGUUGAUAUGGAUUUUAAUUGUUUUAAUUUUAUGGUCCGUGUUCCUUGACCUUGUGGCCAGAAACUAUGGUGAAUACCGACUUUCUGCAAAUUUGACCGACUUUCUACAAAUUUAACCGAAAAACCAGUCAGCAAAGAC
This 371-nucleotide long non-coding RNA is filed under the name Panax ginseng (ginseng). Its description in RNAcentral is "long non-coding RNA (PGIN_LNC004633)". Lineage: Eukaryota; Viridiplantae; Streptophyta; Magnoliopsida; Apiales; Araliaceae. The record is from RNAcentral.